UCCCGGUUGGCCCGGGCAGUCUCGCAUGAAAAAUACAACUAUUCACAAGGGUUGCGCUCGUUGAUGGACUUAACCAAACAUCUCACGACACGAGCUGACGACGGCCAUGCAUCACCUGUCAUUUGGUUCAAUAAAGCACUCUCUGCUUUCACAGAAAUUCCAAGGAUGUCAAACCCUGGUAAGGUUCAUCGGUUAUCAUCGAAUUAAAGAACAUAAUCCACCGCUUGUGCGGCUCCCCGUCAAUUCCUUUAUGUUUUAGUCUUGCGAUCGUACUCCACAGGCGGGAUACUUAACGCGUUAGCUUCGCUACUGAAGGGGUCGAUACCUCCAACAGCUAGUAUCCAUCGUUUACGGCGUGGACUAC
This 364-nucleotide unclassified non-coding RNA is filed under the name uncultured bacterium. RNAcentral's name for it is "contains 16S-23S intergenic spacer region". The record is from RNAcentral.